CUUUCUUGCAGAUAGUGACUCAGAUCCAUUUGACUUAAAUGAGUCAUCUUUGGUGGAAGAAUCAUAUAGCGAUAGUCUCUCCUCUGUAGUUCCUCUUUCUGAACUGAACACACUGUCUUGAUGAAAUUCUAGAGUCAAAAGAGAAGAAAAACCCAAGGACUGGUAAAUAUU
Long non-coding RNA from Magallana angulata, 171 nucleotides. RefSeq lists it as uncharacterized. The record is from RefSeq and is a predicted model, not a curated record. The transcript has 3 exons. Lineage: Eukaryota; Metazoa; Mollusca; Bivalvia; Ostreida; Ostreidae.